GAGGGUCCGCGGAGCCCGUGUUACAGCCAGUGAGGGACCAGGAACAACAUGCCGGUGCAUGCAGGAUACAGGGUAGAGCGCUGAGGCGUCGGCUGCGGGGGCCCCGGACAUUUGAAAAAGGCAUAAGACCAAGAAUCAACAGGAAACAGAAUUAUGAAUUUUUGAAAUUGUUUUCUAUUUCCCACAACAAACAAAUAUGUGUAAAUGUUUACUGUCUGCAGCGCAGCGGACGUAUAGCCCAAGGCCCAAGGUCAAAGGCUAAGCAAAGCUGGGACUGUCCUCCCGUGAAAUACACAGUUAUAGAUUAUAGAUGACGACAAGUCAUGCCAAAGUUUGCCUGGAAGACUUUGGGAAAACAAAACCAACGAUUAUCCCACAGGCGCCCCGGGUUUCAGUCCUGGAUACGAGUUUUGGACGUGACAAUAUGUAAGACUUGAGCCUCUAACCCUAAGACACUGGACAAAGCUCUGUACAUGAUGCAUUAUAGGACGGACAACACAGUUACUCUGGUAUAUUAGACACUAGAUCAAAUUAGGCAGGAAGCUUUUGUAAACAAACCAAGGAUGAUGUGCAUCUAUUCUAUGCUAAUUAGAUGAAAGCUCCUGCAUAUUCCAUUAAGUCCGACUGGAAUCAUAAUUAUGGUUUCUUCACAUCAAAUUUAAUACUUGUCAUAGAAGAAACAGUGCAGGUGUCGCUAAUGACAUCAGCAACGACUUUGUUCUAUUCAAGUGUGCCAGUAAGCGAUGACAGCGUGACAGUGAGUCAGCACGAACGCGUCCAGGACCCUGAACGCAACGCGGCUAAAUAGAACCCAGCCAUUGUUUUUCUUUUUUUUUCCUACUGUGACAUGUCAAAUGUCUCGCGCGAGUCCUGCUCGUCGCUCCUCUUUGUGGUCCAAAAUAACAUCAAAGCGAUGUUUCUCCAACUCGCCGGAAAACUAUUUCCGACGAAGGAAGGAGAGAGCAGGUACCGUCUCUGUCGGCGCACCUGGACGCGCUACCUCUGCGUUUGAUUGGCACGGGCUGGCAGACGGAGCCCUGGCGCGGGAACAGACAGACAAAGGUCACGCACCCAGUGUGUUUUACAACACAACUCCUGCUUCUUUUUGUUGUGACUGGUGAUGGACCUGGGACGUGAACCACACUUACCCAAGCAGAGUGGCCUUAAUUGGUCAUGCAGUUCACAUCGUGCACAUCACAUCAUGAUUAAUCACUGGCCAAUUAGCCACUGGCACCGAUGCCAACGGUGGAUCAAACAGUGAGCGCGCGCGAGUCAAGCGAGAGUCGCUACUGCUCUGCUCCUAACUGUUUUAAUGACUUUUCCACUUUUAUUUUUGUAUCUCCAGUGCUCAGCGUCUACUGCAAAGGACUCCCUGCGAGCGAAAAUGAUCAAUUAUGCAUCCCAUUAAAUAUGUAUAUCUGUGCCUUUGUUUAUUCGAUUGGAGUACAAUGAUAUUUCUUUUUCUCUUCCAGUGAUUUACAAAGGGAAUUAAAGCAGCCUCGUCGCUACGUGUAGCUAUUCCUCAUGCUGGUGAGCUUUGACAAUGAUAAUUACAAAACAAGCACAACCUGAGUGACAUCAUCGCGAGUCUGUUGGCUUCAGCCUGUCAUCCGGUCCUGUCUCCCCUCACCAGGCCCGGGGGGGGGGGGCGCUUCCUUUGGCUCUUUGGAGUAUCUUGCAGAUCGUCUUGCAGCGAAGCCUUGUGGCUUCCUCACAGCUAAGGCCACGUCCCGCAUUACAUCCUGAACUCACACAAAGGUGAGGCUAUUGGUAGAAAUCUAGAGACAGACGGAGAGAACAGAGACGAGUCUAAACGCCAGCUUGGGAAGGCCUGCUAGUCUAUUUGUGACUCAAAGACAGGUGUUGGGGGCUGGAGGUUGGAGGAUUAGAGUGUAUAAUAGAUUUCCGAGCGCCAGAGCUCUGAUGCAGCCCAAACACUGCCCGAGGCCUGUAAGCUCUCCUCACCCAAGUCUGCCGGAGAAAUAACGCUAAGUUCUCUUUUACUUGCGAGGAGGAGGCACUAAUCGCCUC
Betta splendens (Siamese fighting fish) is the source of this 2031-nucleotide long non-coding RNA. The record is from Ensembl. NCBI's taxonomy places the organism in Eukaryota, Metazoa, Chordata, Actinopteri, Anabantiformes, Osphronemidae.